GGUUCAGGCUCAGUGGUGGAGCGCUCGCCCAGCAUGCGUGAGGCCCUGGGUUCGGAUCCUCAGCACCA
Molecule: transfer RNA, 68 nt
Filed under: Marmota monax (woodchuck)
Lineage: Eukaryota; Metazoa; Chordata; Mammalia; Rodentia; Sciuridae
Description: tRNA.Ala
Source: RNAcentral